UCCGCUUUUUCCAGUCGCAUUAUCGUUUUCUUGUAUUCAUCUUGCGACUCCAGCAGCUUCUUGUUCUCCUCGUGAAUCUCUCCCAGUUGGUCGGAGAGUAUGGAGUUCUCUUUCCGAGAAGAAUCAAGGUUCACAUCACGAUCAGUAAUCAUCGAGUCUUUGAUGAUGACCUUGGCACGUUCAGCUGCAAGUUCCAACCUCGCAGCCCCCAACUCUCCUCUAAGUUG
RNAcentral lists this long non-coding RNA (227 nucleotides) under Zostera marina. Its description in RNAcentral is "long non-coding RNA (ZMAR_LNC005946)". The record is from RNAcentral. Lineage: Eukaryota; Viridiplantae; Streptophyta; Magnoliopsida; Alismatales; Zosteraceae.